CAAUAGCGUAUAUUAAAGUUGUUGCGGUAAAAAAGCUCGUAGUUGGAUUUCUGUUGAGAGCGACCGGUCCAUACCAUGUAUGCGUAUCUGGCUUGCUCUCGGCAUCCUCUCGAUAGACGUUACUGCGCUUGAUUGCGUGGUGCGGAUCUCGGGACUUUUACUUUGAGGAAAUUAGAGUGUUCACGGCAGGCUUUCGCCAGAAUACAUUAGCAUGGAAUAAUACUAUAGGAUCUUGGUUCUAUUUUGUUGGUUUCUAGAAUUGAGAUAAUGAUUAAUAGGGACAAUUGGGGGCAUUCGUAUCAACACGUCAGAGGUGGAAUUCCUGGAUUGUGUUGCGACGAACUACUGCGAAAGCAUUUGCCAAGGAUGUUUUCAUUGA
RNAcentral lists this ribosomal RNA (379 nucleotides) under uncultured eukaryote. RNAcentral describes it as "partial 18S ribosomal RNA". It matches the Rfam family "Eukaryotic small subunit ribosomal RNA", at positions 592 to 976 of the family's 1831-position model. The record is from RNAcentral.